UACGUAGGUGGCAAGCGUUGUCCGGAUUUACUGGGCGUAAAGGGCGUGCAGGCGGUCUGUUAAGUGCAGGGUGAAAGCUCCCGGCUCAACUGGGAGAGGUCCUUGCAUACUGGCGGACUUGAGGGGGGUAGAGGAAAGUGGAAUUCCCGGUGUAGUGGUGAUAUGCGUAGAUAUCGGGAGGAACACCUGUGGCGAAGGCGGCUUUCUGGGCCCUACCUGACGCUGAGACGCGAAAGCGUGGGGAGGCGAACCGGG
This 255-nucleotide ribosomal RNA is filed under the name uncultured bacterium. RNAcentral's name for it is "partial 16S ribosomal RNA". It matches the Rfam family "Bacterial small subunit ribosomal RNA", at positions 524 to 777 of the family's 1533-position model. The record is from RNAcentral.